Long non-coding RNA from Lemur catta (Ring-tailed lemur), 4336 nucleotides. RefSeq lists it as uncharacterized. The record is from RefSeq and is a predicted model, not a curated record. The transcript is spliced from 6 exons. NCBI's taxonomy places the organism in Eukaryota, Metazoa, Chordata, Mammalia, Primates, Lemuridae.
CAGGAAUAUACCAGAAGUGGAAUCGUUGGAUCAUAUGGGAGGAGAGCAAAGAGUGAGAUCAAGCCCUCUUCUCGUUCAGACACAUAGGAAGUACUCAACAGAUCUCUUGCAUUGGAUUGGAUUGGAUUGGAGAAGCUAAACCCUGUUGCAGAGUGCAACCUAAUCAGUGACGAUCUCUGUGGAUAUCUGAGAAGGACAGAUACAAACAAAGGAGACACUGGCAAAGAGCUCCCGGAGUGGGGAAAAAAAGGCCCCAGAGAACAGAAAUCAUCCAAAACAAAGACUGGAGAUACGGCUUAAAGAGCUUCAUCAUUAUUAAUUUAGGAAGCUUAAAGAGGGCUGGCAACAAGAAAAGGGCAGUAAAAAAAUCCUAAUGAUAAGCCCGCCAAGCACGUGUAGGUUGUCAGAGGCCCUGCAAGCAAGAGCGUUGCUGGCUGGCCCUUCACUUCCUUUGUUCUUCCACUGGGGCCAGGCGGCGUGCCUCAUGCAGGAGCCGGGCCCCAGGAGGGAGGCGGUGCGGUGCAGCCCACAGGGCCCUGGCCUGGCCCCGUGGGCUGUUGGCAGAGCUCCGAGAAGGCGCCGCAGUGCCGGGCAGUCUAGUGGGCAUCUCUACUCAAAUAUGGAAACUAUUUAACAACAGGCUUGGCAGUGGCAUUGACCAAUCAGAAUGGAACCCACCUACCGUGCUGAGUCAGGGUGCUGGCAGGUGCCUACUGUGCCAGCCUUUGCCCAUUUAGUAAAGUUGCUGAGUUGUGGGGGUCAUCUGGAGAUUUUAGGAGAGAGGUGAGGGCAGCUUGGGGAGCAGGUGGGUGGGAGAAAGGCUUGGGGAGUGAGUUUUUGUUAACCAGUAUGCAGCGUAUUUCAAUAUUUUAACAACUAAUCCAGCUGUCCCAGUGCAGACCAGCUGAAUUUCUGCCUUGGGAUCAUCCCUGUAAUUUGCACUGCUAUAGGGACUGAGCUAUAAAAUAGAAUUGGAUCUCCUUGGUGGAACCAUUCAUCAGUUCUAUUGGAGAAAGUUAAUCAGACACCAUAGCUGACAGUUCUCAAGAGUGGGUGCUUCAAGGAACACCAAGGCUAGUCACUCUUGACUGCUCCGAUUUUCUUAAAUGUGCAUUUCCUCCUCCCUCCACGGAGCCCCCUUUGGUUCCUUUCUCUUUCUCAGGGCUCUUGCUCUCCAGUCCUCAUGCCCGUCCCAUGUAUUUUAAUCAAAAGUGAGGAGAAGGCAGCUCGUGGGUUGUCAUGAGGUUGAGAGGAUGUGAGAUGACCACCGUGCUGUUUUCAUCUCCCUAAGACAGCAUUCUGGCGUUCCGCAGUGCCAGCCGGUUAGAGGAUGUCACUGAGAAAUGCGAAUAGCCCAACUCCGGCAUUAUCACCUCCUUCCAGUUUCCUGAGCACAGAACACCAGAACUGGGGCUUGCUAAUCUGAUUUCAUCACUUGGGCAGUGGCGGUUUUAUUGCAGGAGGCUGCCAAUUCCAGGCCUAUUUUUUUUUUUUUGGAGGGAGGGGAAGUGUUUGCAGAUAGCAGGUGUGUUUCUGCCUGUAUAUUACAAUCUAAUAGGUAACCCAUCUUGUUCCCAAAAGGGUUUAAGGCUCUUCUCAAUCUGAAGUGUUUCAGCUUCAACCCAAGAUAGCUAGCUCUGAUGUAUUAAACUUUUUAAGAAAGGAGAAAUUAAAAAUAACAAUUCCCUAUGUAAUAGAAUUCUUGACUUCUGACUGUUCAAAAUAAUUCAAGCUCCCUACAUGUAUAAUAAGGGAAGAGAUUCCUUUAUUGGAGCAGAGUGGGUUCAGAAUUGCCUCACAACGUUUUUCACAUUUUACCUCAAAAUUUCCUGAUACCAGAGGACCAGGACUCUGCAUCCCAGGGGUUUAAGGGCAAGUUCAGAGGGGCCUGCAGCAAGCAGAAACUUCUCCAAACUUACAUAUUUUAAAUUUCAAUGGUAAAUCUUGCAUGCUGUUCCAUAAUUGAUUUAUUUUUAAUAUAAAAUUAUGUAUCUGAUUUUUAAUUUCAAGGAAGAUCCCUCCUUCACAUUCUAUAUCUUUGGUAAAGUUGACCCUCCUUAUGGGUCUUGUGAUGCACCUGGUACUCUCCUCCCCAAAGGCCCUGCCCACAGGCCCUGGUUUCCUGUAGGAAAUGCCAGCUCACACCCACCAGUGCCUGUAACCCAGCAAAGGAAAAGGACCUGGGAGAGUCUUGGCCUUGGGGAGACCAGAGGCCCAAGGGGCCCAGACCACCUCUGGCAUUUCCAUGUCUUCGUGGUUCCCAAGAUCUGAUGACCUACUGCCUACGAGUCUGACCUGUGACCAAGUGCCCCCAUCACAGGAAACUUGUUUAUGCUGGUGGAUACCCUUGUGGCUCUUGUCCAACCUGUGUCCGGUUUAUUCCUACCAAGAUAGCCACUCUCUGGGAGGGCACUGACUGGGAAAGAAGUCAGGGCCAGUUGUAGAUGAAAUCUUCUGGAUUCUUGUACCCACCAGGACAGAGGGAUGGUCUGAGAUCCGGGACACCAAGCUGUUCAGUCUCUGCUUGCCUGGCAGCAGCAGCAAGGUAGCCUCCUGGGAGAGGGAUCUGUGGCCCCAGGAAACUAAGACAUUGAAUUGGAUCGUCCACGAUGGCUUAGGUGAGCUGCUGAGAGAUUGCAGAUGGAAAUCACAUAAAACAAAUUGGAACAAGUUGCUGUUCUGUCCUGAUUAUGUGAGUGAGAAGGACUUGUCACAGAAGACAUGAAUUGAGUGAGAUCUUAAAAGAUUGCUCACAGGGCAGAGAAAGAGGAGGAAGGAGCUGGAGUCACAUGGGCACAGGGAGGAAAGGACGAGCCUGCGUCAUGUGAUGAGAGAGGUCUGGAGGUGAGACCCUCAGGAAUGUGAAAGAGGAUGGGGAAGCCCCACCUAGGAGUGAGAUGGUUGCCUCUGACUCCUCUGACCUCAGAAGACCUUGGCAGCCUAAAGGUCAUUCCCUGCGGUGAUAAGAUACUGUAUUAAUAGAAGACUGUAAAGCAAUGGGAGAGGGGGCCAGGUCAAGUUCACCUUCUCCUUUUGAUCAGCUUAUUUGGUUGAAGCCAGAGCAUACAGGGUGUGGACCCUAGAGAUUCUGGGGAGGUCUGAAAUGACUGUGCAAUGGAGAAAGAAGAAGGAAUUUUUGCGGGAGCCGGUGUUGUGGUUUGAGUUGUGUCCCACCACAACCUGAAUGUUGAAGUCCUAACCCCUAAUACCCCAGAAUGUGACCUUAUUUGGAGAUAGGCUCUUAACAGAGGCAAUCAGUUAAAGUGAUGUCAUGAGUGUGGUCCCCAGCCCAAUAUGUCCAGUGCCCUUACAAGAAGGGGAAAUUUGUACAGGAAGAAACGCACCCGAGGAGAACACAAUGUAAAUAUGAAGACAAGCAUCUGCAAGCUAAGGAGAGAGGCCCGGAACACAUCCUUCCCUCACAGCCCUCAGGAGGAAGCAACCUGCCAACACCUUGAUCUUGGACUUCUGGCUUCCAGAACUGUGGACAACAAAUUUCUGUUGUUUAAGACACCCAGUCUAUGACACUUUGCUAUCAAAAUGCAAUUGGCUAGUGCUGCUGGCCUCCUGCUUCCAUCAGCACAGGGAGGAUUAAGAAGACAAAGGUCUAGAGAUUCUACAAAGCAAAGGUGAGUUUCUUCUGGUGUGACACCAGGAAACUCCAGUGGUGUUUACAUAAAUGAAACAAGUGCUCAUACUUCAGCUGAUUCAAUGAUUUCUGUCCUCUUAACAAGCGGUGUUCAUUGGCCCACAGUAAUUGUGCAUCUGCUGCAUGAUCAGUUGCAAACUGGCCACGCAUCCUAGUAGGAAUGCACCAUGGCUGAUUCUGUGCCUGUCUGCCGAAAAACACCAGUGAGCUGGGCUGAGAUGCAGCGAGUGAGAGCUGGCCUGAAAAUCUUCACUGAGGUUCCCAUAAAUCCUUCUGAGCCUGGUCUCCCCAGCCCAGCCACAGUCACUUCUGAUUGUGAGUAUUAGGAUGAAGGAUCCAAAGCUUGGGCCAAAAAGGCUGUCUAAGACAUGCUUUCUCUUUCCAGGGUGAAUGGAGACUCUUCAUUGGAUUUUCAUUCAUUCAAAGAGAACAAAUUGUUAGGAAGAGCGCAAACAUUGGUAUUUCCUUUCUUUGUACCUGGUUCUUUAAAAGUAGAUUUUUCUUUCUCUCCUUUUCCUUUCCUCCAAAAAAUGGGGAAAAUAUAAAUGCUAAUUAGGAUGCAAUUAUCCUAAUGGAUCAGUUUACUGGAUAUGCCAAAUAGAUGCUCACCGUAACAGUGACCUGGCAACAACAUAAUACACUAUUUGUAGGAGAAAUAUUAGAGAGGGCAAGAGAGGCGGGCCAACA